UUUUGUUUUUUUCUUUUUUGCUUUUUUUUUUCUUUUUUUUUAGCAGGAUCAACCGCGAUUCCUCUCUUACAAUGAACCCCAGCAGCUUACCGGCCCGCACUCUGAUAGUGCACUUAUCUGAAUUCAACCUCCGUUUGAAUUGUCUCAACUGGUCCACUCAGCUUGGCCAGAUCUACCAGAUGCCCCUCUUCUGUUUGGGACUUUGCUAUCAUGUCAUCAACAUAGCAUUCAAU
This 233-nucleotide long non-coding RNA is filed under the name Lathyrus oleraceus (garden pea). Its description in RNAcentral is "Pisum sativum (pea) long non-coding RNA (PSAT_LNC004018)". The record is from RNAcentral. Lineage: Eukaryota; Viridiplantae; Streptophyta; Magnoliopsida; Fabales; Fabaceae.